This 253-nucleotide ribosomal RNA is filed under the name uncultured bacterium. RNAcentral describes it as "partial 16S ribosomal RNA". It matches the Rfam family "Bacterial small subunit ribosomal RNA", at positions 524 to 776 of the family's 1533-position model. The record is from RNAcentral.
GACGGAAGGUGCAAGCGUUGCUCGGAGUCACUGGGCGUAAAGGGUGCGUAGGCGGCCGUGCAAGUCUGGCGUGAAAGCCCCGGGCUCAGCCCGGGAAGUGCGCCCGAAACUGCGCGGCUCGAGUGCCGGAGGGGAGAGUGGAAUUCCUGGUGUAGCGGUGAAAUGCGUAGAUAUCAGGAGGAAUACCGGUGGCGAAAGCGACUCUCUGGACGGCAACUGACGCUGAGGCACGAAAGCGUGGGGAGCAAACAGG